GGACCCGCACAAGCGGUGGAUUAUGUGGUUUAAUUCGACGAUAAACGAGGAACCUUACCUGGGCUCAACUACUAGCUGCAUAUGACCAGAAAUGGACAUAGCCUUCGAGGGUGCUAGAUAGGUGCUGCAUGGUUGCCGUCAGCUCGUGCCGUGAGGUGUACCGUUAAGUCGGGAAACGAGCGCAACCCACGUCGUAUGUUAAAUUGUACAUACGAGACUGCCUGCGUAAGCAGGAGGAAGGAGUGGAUGACGUCAAAUCAGCAUGGCUCUUACGUCCAGGGCUACACACAUAAUACAAUGGCCGGUACAAUGGGUUGCUAAGUCGCGAGAUGGAGCUAAUCCCACCAAAACCGGUCCCAGUUCAGAUUGCAGGCUGCAACUCGCCUGCAUGAAGUUGGAAUCGCUAGUAAACGCAUAUCAGCCACGGUGCGUUGAAUACGUUCUCGGGUCUU
This 452-nucleotide ribosomal RNA is filed under the name uncultured bacterium. Its description in RNAcentral is "bacterial SSU rRNA". It matches the Rfam family "Bacterial small subunit ribosomal RNA", at positions 917 to 1382 of the family's 1533-position model. The record is from RNAcentral.